This 1429-nucleotide ribosomal RNA is filed under the name Staphylococcus aureus. Its description in RNAcentral is "partial 23S ribosomal RNA". It matches the Rfam family "Bacterial large subunit ribosomal RNA", at positions 513 to 1946 of the family's 2925-position model. Lineage: Bacteria; Bacillati; Bacillota; Bacilli; Caryophanales; Staphylococcaceae. The record is from RNAcentral.
GGUGAAAAGCACCCCGGAAGGGGAGUGAAAUAGAACCUGAAACCGUGUGCUUACAAGUAGUCAGAGCCCGUUAAUGGGUGAUGGCGUGCCUUUUGUAGAAUGAACCGGCGAGUUACGAUUUGAUGCAAGGUUAAGCAGUAAAUGUGGAGCCGUAGCGAAAGCGAGUCUGAAUAGGGCGUUUAGUAUUUGGUCGUAGACCCGAAACCAGGUGAUCUACCCUUGGUCAGGUUGAAGUUCAGGUAACACUGAAUGGAGGACCGAACCGACUUACGUUGAAAAGUGAGCGGAUGAACUGAGGGUAGCGGAGAAAUUCCAAUCGAACCUGGAGAUAGCUGGUUCUCUCCGAAAUAGCUUUAGGGCUAGCCUCAAGUGAUGAUUAUUGGAGGUAGAGCACUGUUUGGACGAGGGGCCCCUCUCGGGUUACCGAAUUCAGACAAACUCCGAAUGCCAAUUAAUUUAACUUGGGAGUCAGAACAUGGGUGAUAAGGUCCGUGUUCGAAAGGGAAACAGCCCAGACCACCAGCUAAGGUCCCAAAAUAUAUGUUAAGUGGAAAAGGAUGUGGCGUUGCCCAGACAACUAGGAUGUUGGCUUAGAAGCAGCCAUCAUUUAAAGAGUGCGUAAUAGCUCACUAGUCGAGUGACACUGCGCCGAAAAUGUACCGGGGCUAAACAUAUUACCGAAGCUGUGGAUUGUCCUUUGGACAAUGGUAGGAGAGCGUUCUAAGGGCGUUGAAGCAUGAUCGUAAGGACAUGUGGAGCGCUUAGAAGUGAGAAUGCCGGUGUGAGUAGCGAAAGACGGGUGAGAAUCCCGUCCACCGAUUGACUAAGGUUUCCAGAGGAAGGCUCGUCCGCUCUGGGUUAGUCGGGUCCUAAGCUGAGGCCGACAGGCGUAGGCGAUGGAUAACAGGUUGAUAUUCCUGUACCACCUAUAAUCGUUUUAAUCGAUGGGGGGACGCAGUAGGAUAGGCGAAGCGUGCGAUUGGAUUGCACGUCUAAGCAGUAAGGCUGAGUAUUAGGCAAAUCCGGUACUCAUUAAGGCUGAGCUGUGAUGGGGAGAAGACAUUGUGUCUUCGAGUCGUUGAUUUCACACUGCCGAGAAAAGCCUCUAGAUAGAAAAUAGGUGCCCGUACCGCAAACCGACACAGGUAGUCAAGAUGAGAAUUCUAAGGUGAGCGAGCGAACUCUCGUUAAGGAACUCGGCAAAAUGACCCCGUAACUUCGGGAGAAGGGGUGCUCUUUAGGGUUAACGCCCAGAAGAGCCGCAGUGAAUAGGCCCAAGCGACUGUUUAUCAAAAACACAGGUCUCUGCUAAACCGUAAGGUGAUGUAUAGGGGCUGACGCCUGCCCGGUGCUGGAAGGUUAAGAGGAGUGGUUAGCUUCUGCGAAGCUACGAAUCGAAGCCCCAGUAAACGGCGGCCGUAACUAUAAC